This 255-nucleotide ribosomal RNA is filed under the name uncultured bacterium. Its description in RNAcentral is "partial 16S ribosomal RNA". It matches the Rfam family "Bacterial small subunit ribosomal RNA", at positions 524 to 776 of the family's 1533-position model. The record is from RNAcentral.
UACGGGGGGAGCAAGCGUUGUUCGGAUUUACUGGGCGUAAAGGGCGCGUAGGCGGUCAGCACAAGUCAGUUGUGAAAUCUCCGGGCUUAACUCGGAAAGGUCAACUGAUACUGUGCGACUAGAGUGCAGAAGGGGCAACUGGAAUUCUCGGUGUAGCGGUGAAAUGCGUAGAUAUCAAGAGGAACACCUGAGGUGAAGACGGGUUGCUGGGCCGACACUGACGCUGACAGCGCGAAAGCCAGGGGAGCAAACGGG